Molecule: ribosomal RNA, 1372 nt
Filed under: uncultured bacterium
Lineage: Bacteria
Description: bacterial SSU rRNA
Rfam family: Bacterial small subunit ribosomal RNA
Source: RNAcentral
GAUGAACGCUGGCGGCGUGCCUAAUACAUGCAAGUCGAGCGAACAGAUAAGGAGCUUGCUCCUUUGAAGUUAGCGGCGGACGGGUGAGUAACACGUGGGUAACCUACCUAUAAGACUGGGAUAACUUCGGGAAACCGGAGCUAAUACCGGAUAACAUUUAGAACCGCAUGGCUCUAAAGUGAAAGAUGGUUUUGCUAUCACUUAUAGAUGGACCCGCGCCGUAUUAGCUAGUUGGUAAGGUAACGGCUUACCAAGGCGACGAUACGUAGCCGACCUGAGAGGGUGAUCGGCCACACUGGAACUGAGACACGGUCCAGACUCCUACGGGAGGCAGCAGUAGGGAAUCUUCCGCAAUGGGCGAAAGCCUGACGGAGCAACGCCGCGUGAGUGAUGAAGGGUUUCGGCUCGUAAAACUCUGUUAUUAGGGAAGAACAAAUGUGUAAGUAACUGUGCACAUCUUGACGGUACCUAAUCAGAAAGCCACGGCUAACUACGUGCCAGCAGCCGCGGUAAUACGUAGGUGGCAAGCGUUAUCCGGAAUUAUUGGGCGUAAAGCGCGCGUAGGCGGUUUCUUAAGUCUGAUGUGAAAGCCCACGGCUCAACCGUGGAGGGUCAUUGGAAACUGGGAAACUUGAGUGCAGAAGAGGAAAGUGGAAUUCCAUGUGUAGCGGUGAAAUGCGCAGAGAUAUGGAGGAACACCAGUGGCGAAGGCGACUUUCUGGUCUGUAACUGACGCUGAUGUGCGAAAGCGUGGGGAUCAAACAGGAUUAGAUACCCUGGUAGUCCACGCCGUAAACGAUGAGUGCUAAGUGUUAGGGGGUUUCCGCCCCUUAGUGCUGCAGCUAACGCAUUAAGCACUCCGCCUGGGGAGUACGACCGCAAGGUUGAAACUCAAAGGAAUUGACGGGGACCCGCACAAGCGGUGGAGCAUGUGGUUUAAUUCGAAGCAACGCGAAGAACCUUACCAAAUCUUGACAUCCUUUGAAAACUCUAGAGAUAGAGCCUUCCCCUUCGGGGGACAAAGUGACAGGUGGUGCGUGGUUGUCGUCAGCUCGUGUCGUGAGAUGUUGGGUUAAGUCCCGCAACGAGCGCAACCCUUAAGCUUAGUUGCCAUCAUUAAGUUGGGCACUCUAGGUUGACUGCCGGUGACAAACCGGAGGAAGGUGGGGAUGACGUCAAAUCAUCAUGCCCCUUAUGAUUUGGGCUACACACGUGCUACAAUGGACAAUACAAAGGGCAGCUAAACCGCGAGGUCAUGCAAAUCCCAUAAAGUUGUUCUCAGUUCGGAUUGUAGUCUGCAACUCGACUACAUGAAGCUGGAAUCGCUAGUAAUCGUAGAUCAGCAUGCUACGGUGAAUACGUUCCCGGGUCU